GGGGGGGGCAAGCGUUGUUCGGAAUUAYUGGGCGUAAAGGGCUCGUAGGCGGCCAACUAAGUCGGAUGUGAAAUCCCCAGGCUUAACCUGGGAACUGCAUCCGAUACUGGAUGGCUUGAAUCCGGGAGAGGGAUGCAGAAUUCCAGGUGUAGCGGUGAAAUGCGUAGAUAUCUGGAGGAAUACCGGUGGCGAAGGCGGCAUCCUGGACCGGCAUUGACGCUGAGUGAGCGAAAGCCAGGGGAGCAAACGGGAUUAGAUACCCCGGUAGUCCUGGCCCUAAACGAUGAAUGCUUGGUGUGGCGGGUAUCGAUCCCUGCCGUGCCGAAGCUAACGCAUUAAGCAUUCCGCCUGGGGAGUACGGUCGCAWWGSKG
Molecule: ribosomal RNA, 372 nt
Filed under: uncultured bacterium
Lineage: Bacteria
Description: bacterial SSU rRNA
Rfam family: Bacterial small subunit ribosomal RNA
Source: RNAcentral